RNAcentral lists this ribosomal RNA (1372 nucleotides) under uncultured bacterium. RNAcentral describes it as "bacterial SSU rRNA". It matches the Rfam family "Bacterial small subunit ribosomal RNA", at positions 28 to 1381 of the family's 1533-position model. The record is from RNAcentral.
GAUGAACGCUGGCGGCGUGCCUAAUACAUGCAAGUCGAGCGAACGGACGAGAAGCUUGCUUCUCUGAUGUUAGCGGCGGACGGGUGAGUAACACGUGGAUAACCUACCUAUAAGACUGGGAUAACUUCGGGAAACCGGAGCUAAUACCGGAUAAUAUUUUGAACCGCAUGGUUCAAAAGUGAAAGACGGUCUUGCUGUCACUUAUAGAUGGAUCCGCGCUGCAUUAGCUAGUUGGUAAGGUAACGGCUUACCAAGGCAACGAUGCAUAGCCGACCUGAGAGGGUGAUCGGCCACACUGGAACUGAGACACGGUCCAGACUCCUACGGGAGGCAGCAGUAGGGAAUCUUCCGCAAUGGGCGAAAGCCUGACGGAGCAACGCCGCGUGAGUGAUGAAGGUCUUCGGAUCGUAAAACUCUGUUAUUAGGGAAGAACAUAUGUGUAAGUAACUGUGCACAUCUUGACGGUACCUAAUCAGAAAGCCACGGCUAACUACGUGCCAGCAGCCGCGGUAAUACGUAGGUGGCAAGCGUUAUCCGGAAUUAUUGGGCGUAAAGCGCGCGUAGGCGGUUUUUUAAGUCUGAUGUGAAAGCCCACGGCUCAACCGUGGAGGGUCAUUGGAAACUGGAAAACUUGAGUGCAGAAGAGGAAAGUGGAAUUCCAUGUGUAGCGGUGAAAUGCGCAGAGAUAUGGAGGAACACCAGUGGCGAAGGCGACUUUCUGGUCUGUAACUGACGCUGAUGUGCGAAAGCGUGGGGAUCAAACAGGAUUAGAUACCCUGGUAGUCCACGCCGUAAACGAUGAGUGCUAAGUGUUAGGGGGUUUCCGCCCCUUAGUGCUGCAGCUAACGCAUUAAGCACUCCGCCUGGGGAGUACGACCGCAAGGUUGAAACUCAAAGGAAUUGACGGGGACCCGCACAAGUGGUGGAGCAUGUGGUUUAAUUCGAAGCAACGCGAAGAACCUUACCAAAUCUUGACAUCCUUUGACAACUCUAGAGAUAGAGCCUUCCCCUUCGGGGGACAAAGUGACAGGUGGUGCAUGGUUGUCGUCAGCUCGUGUCGUGAGAUGUUGGGUUAAGUCCCGCAACGAGCGCAACCCUUAAGCUUAGUUGCCAUCAUUAAGUUGGGCACUCUAAGUUGACUGCCGGUGACAAACCGGAGGAAGGUGGGGAUGACGUCAAAUCAUCAUGCCCCUUAUGAUUUGGGCUACACACGUGCUACAAUGGACAAUACAAAGGGCAGCGAAACCGCGAGGUCAAGCAAAUCCCAUAAAGUUGUUCUCAGUUCGGAUUGUAGUCUGCAACUCGACUACAUGAAGCUGGAAUCGCUAGUAAUCGUAGAUCAGCAUGCUACGGUGAAUACGUUCCCGGGUCU